RNAcentral lists this unclassified non-coding RNA (331 nucleotides) under Hevea brasiliensis (rubber tree). Lineage: Eukaryota; Viridiplantae; Streptophyta; Magnoliopsida; Malpighiales; Euphorbiaceae. The record is from RNAcentral.
GGACGUACAGCUCGGUCUCUCUAUACUUCUCUCUCGUUAGUGUCGGUGAGAGUGACUGUCAAGCUUUCACUGUUGUUGGGUUUUGUUUUAUAUUGAUUUCGGUUGGCUUCAAAAUCUUUAAUGAUGGCUAUAUUUCUCCUAUACUUCAAUUAAAGUUUGUGAUUAUAAGUGGGUUUUGUCCUGCAAUUUUGGUGCAUUAAUGAGGUCUUGAGAGUUGUAGCUUUCUUGGAGUGUGAUUUGAGCUGAGGAUUAGACCAGAAUUUGUUUUCAGUGGCUAAUUGGGCAAUGGAUUUGGAUGGAGAUGCAACAGGGACCAAAAAUGUAAAACAAA